This 253-nucleotide ribosomal RNA is filed under the name uncultured bacterium. Its description in RNAcentral is "partial 16S ribosomal RNA". It matches the Rfam family "Bacterial small subunit ribosomal RNA", at positions 524 to 776 of the family's 1533-position model. The record is from RNAcentral.
GACGAACCGUGCGAACGUUGUUCGGAAUCAUUGGGCGUAAAGCGCGUGUAGGCGGUCCGGUAAGUCCGCUGUGAAAGUCGGGGGCUCAACCCUCGAAAGCCGGUGGAAACUGUCGGGCUAGAGUACGGAAGAGGCGAGUGGAAUUCCUGGUGUAGCGGUGAAAUGCGCAGAUAUCGGGAGGAACACCGGUGGCGAAGGCGGCCCCCUGGUUGGAUACUGACGCUGAGACGCGAAAGCGUGGGGAGCAAACGGG